UACGAAGGGGGCUAGCGUUGUUCGGAUUUACUGGGCGUAAAGCGCACGCAGGCGGCUAAACAAGUCAGAGGUGAAAUCCCAAGGCUCAACCUUGGAACUGCCUUUGAAACUGUUUGGCUAGAGAUCGAGAGAGGAUAGUGGAAUUCCUAGUGUAGAGGUGAAAUUCGUAGAUAUUAGGAGGAACACCAGUGGCGAAGGCGGCUAUCUGGCUCGAUACUGACGCUCAUGUGCGAAAGCGUGGGGAGCAAACAGG
RNAcentral lists this ribosomal RNA (253 nucleotides) under uncultured bacterium. Its description in RNAcentral is "partial 16S ribosomal RNA". It matches the Rfam family "Bacterial small subunit ribosomal RNA", at positions 524 to 776 of the family's 1533-position model. The record is from RNAcentral.